AGCUCUCAAAAUGCAUAGAAUUAUUGCUGCGGUUAAAAAGCUCGUAGUUGGAUCUGUGCUGGGACGGUGGUCCACCUUCGGGUGCGCACUACUCGCUCUCGGCUUUUUGUGUCGGUUCUGUCUCGUCGUAGCCUUCACUGGUUGCGGCGGGUGGCUGACGAUUUUACUUUGAACAAAUCAGAGUGCUUAACACAGGCGUUUCGCUUGAAUGUUCUUGCAUGGAAUAAUAGAAAAGGAUUUCGGUUCUGUU
Molecule: ribosomal RNA, 250 nt
Filed under: Chromadorea environmental sample
Lineage: Eukaryota; Metazoa; Nematoda; Chromadorea
Description: partial small subunit ribosomal RNA
Rfam family: Eukaryotic small subunit ribosomal RNA
Source: RNAcentral